RNAcentral lists this ribosomal RNA (510 nucleotides) under uncultured bacterium. RNAcentral's name for it is "partial 16S ribosomal RNA". It matches the Rfam family "Bacterial small subunit ribosomal RNA", at positions 28 to 507 of the family's 1533-position model. The record is from RNAcentral.
GACGAACGCUGGCGGCGUGCUUAACACAUGCAAGUCGAACGAAGAGCGAUGGAAGCUUGCUUCUAUCAAUCUUAGUGGCGAACGGGUGAGUAACGCGUAAUCAACCUGCCCUUCAGAGGGGGACAACAGUUGGAAACGACUGCUAAUACCGCAUACGAUCUAAUCUCGGCAUCGAGGAUAGAUGAAAGGUGGCCUCUACAUGUAAGCUAUCACUGAAGGAGGGGAUUGCGUCUGAUUAGCUAGUUGGAGGGGUAACGGCCCACCAAGGCGAUGAUCAGUAGCCGGUCUGAGAGGAUGAACGGCCACAUUAGGACUGAGACACGGCCCAGACUCCUACGGGAGGCAGCAGUGGGGAAUCUUCCGCAAUGGACGAAAGUCUGACGGAGCAACGCCGCGUGAGUGAUGACGGCCUUCGGGUUGUAAAGCUCUGUUAAUCGGGACGAAAGGCCUUCUUGCGAAUAGUGAGAAGGAUUGACGGUACCGGAAUAGAAAGCCACGGCUAACUACGUG